UUUAGCUUUCUUGUUUAAUAAUUAGAUGCCUUUCGUAAAAACUGUAUCACUAGACUUAAGAUUUAGGAAUCUAAAUCUUCCCUUAAUGUAAACUUUAUGCGAAGCAUAGUUUACGAAUUUCGGGGACGAAAUUCUGUUAAGGGGGGAGGAAUGUAGCGCCCCAGUUUUUAAAACAUAUUAAUAAUUUGAUUAAAGAUGAAAAAUGAUUAUUAUGUGAAUAAAUAAACGAUCAAUUGUUUGAUAAAUAUUUUCAACUGAUUUAAUAAACGGUGUUUUAAUAAAUCUGAUAAUCCGAAAAUUUACUAAGUUAAUAAAAUAGGCAGAUAUGAAUAAAAUAUCAUUAAUUAUAAUUCCCAACCAACGCAUCACUUCACAGUUUUAAUCUACUCGGUGUUCUUCAAUCUGCCGCACUGAAACUCCUACUCUGCCUAAUUAUUCCCACCAUUUUCUCCACUCCUCAUUAUUAUAAGUCUAUCGAUGCAAUGAGUAAUUAGUGGGCAGCUUGUCAUUGCACUCAUGAAUAGAAUAAACUCUAUAAUAUAAUCAUUAGUUUCCAUUAUUAGUUUAUUAACCACAUUAUAUAGUCGAGCACCUUCCCUCUGCAGACGCACUUCUCCUUCUUUUUCAUUAUGCCUGCUCCUUUUCUUGUUAUCCCUUCUUUCCAGCACAUUAUGUUUAAUGAUAUUAUAUUUAUAAGUGGCCGACUAUCAUAAUUGGAACACUAUUUCCAGCACCUUCCUUCUCUUCCUUCAUUAUUUUAUAACCCCACUUUAGUUCCUUAAGUUUCUUCUUCUCUGCCUUCUUCUUCACGGUGGCACAGUGAAAGUCAGAGCAAUGAGAGCGUGAGAUGUGAGAAGAGAGAAACUAAUCGAGAGAGAGAGAGAGAAGUUGUCUGAGAGUGAGACUGAAACGGAGAGAAAGGCAGCACCUGAGAGAUGGGAAGAGAGAGAUCCGGGUGGCCCGUGAAGGUGAAACCCGGAGAUACCGUAGCAGAACCUGUGACCCGUGACCCAGCCGAACCGUAGCAGAUCGAUCCAAACUCGGCCGGGUUCCGGCCGAUUGUAGCAGACCCGAGAGUAGAGAGACCGUGAGAUGUCGAGGGAGAUCGGGAAGUUGAGGAGUGCCCGGACCCGAUCCUCCGGUGGGUGGCGCCGACGAGGCCAGAAGACACCGACGACACGACCUCCGGCGAGCCCGUGAGAACCCAUAGCCCAGAUCCCAGCUACUGGUCAAAACCCAUCUCAGACCCGGCGAGAUCUAACCCGCAAACCCAGUAACCGUGCGUGAAAUCAUGACCCGAACCGUGAGACCACAGAGGCCCAAAACCCGUAGCCCAGACCUGCAGACCCAUGGGCUGACUUCAGCCCAGGCCCGCUGAGCCCAAACCCGGCAGUGAUCCCCAACACAUGACCCGAACCCGGAAACCUGACCCACCGGCGACCCGUCUCCGGUAGACACUCCGGCGACUUUUCCGGCGACUUUCCGGCGACCGAACUCACUAUUUUCACUGGAUUUUCUAGUAAAAAUCCUUAAUAUGAUGAACUGAGAAACUGUACAAAAAGACUCCCAUGUUGCAGGUACGAAAGUGUAUAAAGCUCAAGGAUAGGAGUUUGUUAACAUUACAGGAAUUAGAACUGUUCGAUAAUGUAGUUGAUGAUUGUAGUGAAUUCUUGUAUCAAUUUGAAAUGUAAUACUUUAAUUACGUUUAUCACUCAAUAAAGCUCUAAAUGUGUUAUGUUAUCAA
Long non-coding RNA from Alnus glutinosa, 1744 nucleotides. RefSeq lists it as uncharacterized. The record is from RefSeq and is a predicted model, not a curated record. The transcript is spliced from 2 exons. Lineage: Eukaryota; Viridiplantae; Streptophyta; Magnoliopsida; Fagales; Betulaceae.